This 651-nucleotide ribosomal RNA is filed under the name Chlorella sorokiniana. Its description in RNAcentral is "SSU rRNA". It matches the Rfam family "Eukaryotic small subunit ribosomal RNA", at positions 1093 to 1767 of the family's 1831-position model. The record is from RNAcentral. Lineage: Eukaryota; Viridiplantae; Chlorophyta; Trebouxiophyceae; Chlorellales; Chlorellaceae.
AGAAAUCAAAGUUUUUGGGUUCCGGGGGGAGUAUGGUCGCAAGGCUGAAACAUAAAGGAAUUGACGGAAGGGCACCUCCAGGCGUGGAGCCUGCGGCUUAAUUUGAAUCAACACGGGAAAAAUUACCAGGUCCAGACAUAGUGAGGAUUGACAGAUUGAGAGCUCUUUUUUGAUUUUAUGGGUGGUGGUGCAUGGCCGUUUUUAGUUGGUGGGUUGCCUUGUCAGGUUGAUUCCGGUAACGAACGAGACCUCAGCCUGCUAAAUAGUCACGGUUGGCUCGCCAGCCGGCGGACUUUUUAGAGGGACUAUUGGCGACUAGCCAAUGGAAGCAUGAGGCAAUAACAGGUUUGUGAUGCCCUUAGAUGUUUUGGGCCGCACGCGCGCUACACUGAUGCAUUCAACGAGCCUAUCCUUGGCCGAGAGGCCCGGGUAAUCUUUGAAUUUGCAUCGUGAUGGGGAUAGAUUAUUGCAAUUAUUAAUUUUCAACGAGGAAUGCCUAGUAAGCGCAAGUCAUCAGCUUGCGUUGAUUACGUCCCUGCCCUUUGUACACACCGCCCGUCGCUCCUACCGAUUGGGUGUGCUGGUGAAGUGUUUGGAUUGGCGACCGGGGGGGGUCUCCGCUGUCGGCCGCCGAGAAGUUCAUUAAACCCU